RNAcentral lists this ribosomal RNA (502 nucleotides) under uncultured bacterium. RNAcentral's name for it is "bacterial SSU rRNA". It matches the Rfam family "Bacterial small subunit ribosomal RNA", at positions 8 to 518 of the family's 1533-position model. The record is from RNAcentral.
AGAGUUUGAUCCUGGCUUAGGAUGAACGCUGGCGGCGUGCUUAACACAUGCAAGUCGAACGGAGCCUAGCGAGUGCUUGCACUUGCGAAAGCUUAGUGGCGGACGGGUGAGUAACGCGUGGGUAACCUGCCCUAUACUGGGGGAUAACAGUUGGAAACGACUGCUAAUACCGCAUAAGCCUACGGUGCCGCAUGACACAGUAGGAAAAAACUCCGGUGGUAUAGGAUGGACCCGCGUCUGAUUAGCUAGUUGGUGAGGUAACGGCCCACCAAGGCGACGAUCAGUAGCCGGCCUGAGAGGGUGAACGGCCACAUUGGGACUGAGACACGGCCCAAACUCCUACGGGAGGCAGCAGUGGGGAAUACUGCACAAUGGGGGAAGCCCUGAUGCAAGCGACGCCGCGUGAGCGAAGAAGUAUUUCGGUAUGUAAAGCUCUAUCAGCAGGGAAGAUAAUGACGGUACCUGACUAAGAAGCACCGGCUAAAUACGUGCCAGCCGCCGC